Molecule: ribosomal RNA, 497 nt
Filed under: uncultured bacterium
Lineage: Bacteria
Description: partial 16S ribosomal RNA
Rfam family: Bacterial small subunit ribosomal RNA
Source: RNAcentral
GAUGAACGCUGGCGGCGUGCCUAAUACAUGCAAGUCGAGCGAACAGACGAGGAGCUUGCUCCUCUGACGUUAGCGGCGGACGGGUGAGUAACACAUGGAUAACCUACCUAUAAGACUGGGAUAACUUCGGGAAACCGGAGCUAAUACCGGAUAAUAUAUUGAACCGCAUGGUUCAAUAGUGAAAGACGGUUUUGCUGUCACUUAUAGAUGGAUCCGCGCCGCAUUAGCUAGUUGGUAAGGUAACGGCUUACCAAGGCAACGAUGCGUAGCCGACCUGAGAGGGUGAUCGGCCUCACUGGAACUGAGACACGGUCCAGACUCCUACGGGAGGCAGCAGUAGGGAAUCUUCCGCAAUGGGCGAAAGCCUGACGGAGCAACGCCGCGUGAGUGAUGAAGGUCUUCGGAUCGUAAAACUCUGUUAUUAGGGAAGAACAAAUGUGUAAGUAACUAUGCACGUCUUGACGGUACCUAAUCAGAAAGCCACGGCUAACUACGUG